RNAcentral lists this ribosomal RNA (464 nucleotides) under Vreelandella stevensii. Its description in RNAcentral is "partial 16S ribosomal RNA". It matches the Rfam family "Bacterial small subunit ribosomal RNA", at positions 338 to 794 of the family's 1533-position model. Lineage: Bacteria; Pseudomonadati; Pseudomonadota; Gammaproteobacteria; Oceanospirillales; Halomonadaceae. The record is from RNAcentral.
CCUACGGGUGGCAGCAGUGGGGAAUAUUGGACAAUGGGCGAAAGCCUGAUCCAGCCAUGCCGCGUGUGUGAAGAAGGCCUUCGGGUUGUAAAGCACUUUCAGUGGGGAAGAAAGCCUUGGGGCUAAUACCCUCGAGGAAGGACAUCACCCACAGAAGAAGCACCGGCUAACUCCGUGCCAGCAGCCGCGGUAAUACGGAGGGUGCGAGCGUUAAUCGGAAUUACUGGGCGUAAAGCGCGCGUAGGCGGUCUGAUAAGCCGGUUGUGAAAGCCCCGGGCUCAACCUGGGAACGGCAUCCGGAACUGUCAGGGUAGAGUGCAGGAGAGGAAGGUGGAAUUCCCGGGGUAGCGGUGAAAUGCGUAGAGAUCGGGAGGAAUACCAGUGGCGAAGGCGGCCUUCUGGACUGACACUGACGCUGAGGUGCGAAAGCGUGGGUAGCAAACAGGAUUAGAUACCCUUGUAGU